UCGGCAGAGUCUCCCUUAUAAUUAAAACAUAUCCAAUCCUGCAAAUUACAAAUCAACACUCCCAAAAUAAUUUGAUAUCCAACCAUCCUUCAUAACCAACUUCUCAAGUCAACACCUCAAAUUUCACCCAAACCCUUCUAAUAAUAAAAUACACUGGUAAUCCUUAAUUACAAAAUAUAAUAAAUAAAUACAAUUCGCAAUAUCCCAAAUAAUUAAAAUAAUUAAAUCUACGACUUCUAGCACCAUUACGUGGCCACAAUUUCAAAUCUAACUAUCGUUACUGAGUCGACUGAUGUACCUGCAAGUCUCCUGGGGGGGAGAAAAUAUAAUAAAAGCGGAAUGAGUAUAAAACUCAGUGAACUCAGUGAGUGGAUAAUAAUUUUAAAAAUCAAUUCUUUUAAAAAAUAAUUUAAUCUUUUUCAAAUCAAUUUCUCAAAUCAUCAAUUUCUCAAAUCAAUUUCAUCAGAAUAUCAUAAGAACUUACAUAAACUUAUUUAAUUCAAAUCAGUCACUGAAAUACUAUAUUACGUAAAUCUGCAUAAAAUCAAUGGAAACAUAAUACUUAUUAUAUCAAAUACUGAAUACCAAAACUAUCAUCAAACAAGUACCCAGGGAAAUCUCGUCAUAUCCGGACCUCAACGGACGGGCAAUGACGCACUAUCUGGGUAACGUCAUGCCCCGGAGCUACAACGGAUAGACAGGGAAAUACUAUCUCAUAUCUCAUCAUAUCUGUGCAUGCAUAAUCUAGUCCCCAAAGGACAAAAGCGCCCAAGCACACGGCCCAAAGCCUCUGUGUGUACUCAGACGGGCCCCAAAGGCCUGUAUCUCAUCUGUAUCUCAACUCUCUGUAUCUCAUAUCUGUAUCACUGUAUCUCAAUAACUGAUCUGUAUCCCAUAUCUGUAUCACUGUAUCUCUGUAAUUGAUCUGUAUCUCAUAUAUGUAUCUCUAUAUCUCUGUAACUGAUCUGUAUCUCAUAUCUGUAUCUUUGUAUCUCUGUAUCUCUGUAACUGAUCUAUAUCUCAUAUCUGUAUCUCUGUAUCUGGAGGGAAGGGUACUGUCUAAUGUUUUCAAAAACAAUAUUUAUACUCAUGUAUAUAAACAUAUAAUCACAUCUGAAAUCUCAUUUUCUUUCUAUUCAACAUAUCUCAAAUCUGCUCAAUUCUAAUAUCAUGCCUUUACUAAAAAAACGAUAGUAAAAUCAUUAAUCAAACUCAUUCUCAAUAACAAUAAAUAUCAACACAUAAAUAAAAAAUCAAUUUUCUAGAAAAGCAUUAAAUCGAGCAUCAAAUACUUAUUUAUAAAAACAUACUGCACUGUAUCAUAAAAUCAACAUAUACUCUAAAAAUAGGUUUUGUAUAUUCCACUCACAGUGACAAUGUCCAAACUCGGUGUCAACAAAGUCCGUGGAUUAAUUCUCGUUCGCGAAUCCUCCUAAUCAAGGAAACGCCAAAAUCAUUCUCCGUAACUUUGAAAUACAACCAAUUUAAUAUAAUAAAUCUCGAAACGAAUAUCUAUCAACAAUAAACUAUUUCCGCAUGUACAAAAUUACUGAAAUACCCCUACAUACCAAAAUUACCAAAAUGCUCCCAACAUUAAUAUUUUACCAAAUUAUCCUCAGAAUCUUCAAUUACUAAAUGGUCCUCAAUUCAGAUCACAUAAAUAACUGCAAUGUCAAAAAUUAUGAAAUUACCCUCGGAGCGUAAAUUUACCAAAAUAUCCUUAACGACUUAAAUUACCGAAUUACCAUCGUAAUCUCAAAUUACUUCACUGCCCUAACUUAAAAUUACCAAUUUAUCCACUGAUUCCACAAAUUACAUAUUCACCCUUAGGUUUUGUGAAUUACCGAUUUGCCCUUGAAUUCAAUAUUACCAAAAUACCCUCAUAUCAAAAUUACCAAAUUAACCUCAAAAUCAUAAAUUACCAACUUUAUCCUCAAUUACAGCAAUUACCAAAAUACCCACAAAAUCUGAAAUUACAACAUUGCCCUUAUGUUAUGAAAUUACCGAAAUGCCCUUGCCGGUCAACGGUCACCGGAAUUUAUCCGACGGCGACGGGAAGCUCAAAUCUUAAAGUGCCAAUCACGCUGAGUUCAAUGGUACCGGCGGUGAGCUCCGACGCGCGGCAACGACGCCGGAAUCUAGCUCGACCGCCGUGAGUUCCAACAAUCGACCGGCGGCAAAACAACGACUCUCGGUGCCUAUGGAUGGUCGGAAAUGGAAGAGGGAAUCAUGAGGAACAAAAUCCAACCGGUGGUGUCACCCAAAUCUGGCGAAAUCACGGCGAAUCAAGCCGGCGAUUCCGCGAACCUUCAACACUUCGAUCGGUGACUUUCCGAUCGUUUUCCGGCAGCAAGGACGGCAUGGAUACGUUGCUCAUCUCUCAAGCUUCAAAUCGGUACCAAGCACGGCCGGUGAGGUGGCCGGAAACGGGAGAACUCGUCGGGUCAAGUCGCGGGUUCGGGUUGGGUCGGGUCGGGUCAAACGGGUCAAAGACUCUCUCUCUCGUGCCUUCUCUCUCUUUCUUUGUGAAUCCAUAACAGUUCCCCCCAUUUCCAUAUAUAAAACCCGACUUCUUUUUCUUUUUCUCUUCGUUUUUUUUUUUUAAACUUAAGCUUAAUACAAAUUAAGCUAAUACCGGACCCGAGGCGAAAAAUAAAAUCCGACUACUUGAGCUUUUAAUCGCACUCAAUUUAUAUAAGUGGAGAGUCAAAAAUAAUCGGGUGCGGGGUAUUACAUAAGCAAUUAACGAAUUGGUUGUAACCACGAUCAAUUCCUCUUUCUGUAAUAACAGCAAGCGAGUCCUCCUUGGAAAGUGUUCCCUCAGUGUCGGUAGGUUUAAUAACAUGAACCUCAGCACCAAUGUACAUGUAUUAUUAAGAAGGUACCCUUUUAAAUGUUGAUUAAAUUCUGCUAGGGUAAGAAAUUUGACGAAGCCCCAUUCACUUGUCUGCUGAUCAUAGGUCCUCACUGGAGAUUUAGCAUCUUGGACUGCCAAGUAAUCCUUCCUAAUCUUAUCAUACACAAACAAUCUGUACUAGACAUUAACACUCCAGGCAGCAUUAGAAUAAGAAUUGCUUUAAUCUAUUUUCAUGUAAAGGGAAAGAUGACGUCUAUGUUCUUUGUGAUCUACUGUAUUUGCAUUUGAUGAGGGGUAAGGUUCAUAGUACGUAUGUCCUCUAAUUAAGUGUUUCUUUCUUUUUUGAUUUAGACAAAAAUAUCUACAGUCUACCCAGAGUUUCACCAUUUUUCAAAAACUGUUCUACUUCCAACUUAAUACGGUUAGUAACUUUGAUAGAAUAUUAGUAAAAUGACAAUGUUGCCCUUUAAUUCACACCAUAAAAUAAUAAAAUUAUAACAGAAAUAGAAACCAAAAUUAAAAAACAGAGAAGGUAUUUUUCAGAAAUCCUCUACUUACAAAAUCAAACCCUUCAUUAAAUCACAAUCUCAUAAAUCAUAACCCUAAUCUUACGACUCAAAUCCUAAGAAAUCAAAACCCCCUGAAUCCUGUCCACUAUCUUAGGGAGAAAAAUAAAUAAAUAAAAGUCUAAAAUGAUUAAUUUGACAAGUUUGAUUCUUCUUAGUCUAUUUAUUUUAGCAGAUUAAUUGACAAUUCUGAAUGUAAAUGACUAUUUUUUAUGAGUAAAUUAUAAAAUGAGGCAAUAGAUGUGAAGAUAGGGAAAAUGGAAAAUAGAGGAAUUAUAUAUUGAUUUGACCAUAAUGGAUUGUUCUUUAUACUAAAUUAUGUUUGGGCUAUUUAUAUAAAUAAAAAACAAAAAAGUGUACUAAAUAUUUUUAUAGUACAAAUAGUCCCAUAAUUAUUGAUUUUAUAGGUAACUGUUGGAUUAAUUUUAUUAAGUACUUCUUUGAUUUGAUUAUCAAUCUCAACCUUAUGUUGAUCGAUUCAUCUAAUUUUUCCCGUCAUUCUUCAAAGUAACCCAGUUGGUUGAUUUCUAAUCCCGGUAACAGACGUAAAAAACUGACAUUAUUAGUCAGACUAUUCAUCCUAGAGAUGGUAUAGCAAACGUGUUUUAUCUUCAAAAAAUUUAUAUCAACCACCUUAAACCUUUUAUUUCCACGCAAGAGAUUUUAGAGAAAAAAACUAGCUAAUACCCACAACUUUAUUGAAAGUCUUUGUUUAUUCAUUUUAUUGGCAAUUUACUAUAUGUGUUCCAUCGUCUUUAACAAAUGAAACUUAUACUAUUGACUAGCAUAGGCUUAAUUUACAUUGACCUUCCCUAAUUAAAGUUUUAUUACAAGCCCUAAUUGAAAUUAUUAAAGAGCGAAAUUUAUUAACAUUGGCUAAUACAGGCUAGAUUUAUUAUAUAUAAUGACUUAACAAAAAAUACUACAAUAUGAUAUUUAUUACUAAUAUAGCUAAUGACUUUAUUGGCUUUAAUUGCGGUUUGUGCUAUAGUAGUCAUCUUUGAUGUCAACAUCUGAAACUUUCACGCGGCUGCUGCGGAGUCCUAUUGGUUAGGGGUAGUUGUUGUUAUAGUGAAAAUAAAUCUUUAGUUUUUAUUUACUUGUAGAAAUGUCCACUAAGUGAGCACUUGUUGCUCUCUUUUAGCUGUGUCUUUGUUGUUUUCCGUUAGAGUCUUUGUAUAAAUUCAGAGUUCAAAGAUGAAUAAUGACAGCAGAUUAAUUUUCUUCAAAGUUCAUCUAGUAUUGCAGGCUUAGGGAUUUGAACGUUCAUCUAGUAUUAAGAGUCUAAAGAUGAAUAAAGGCAGCAAAUUAACAGAAAAGGAUCCUCUCUUGAUCUAAUAUGUUCUGAGUUUUUCAAGAUCUUCUGCCAUGUGUCUUUUAGUGGUAGUUUAUGGGUAAGAUUCAACUUCUUUUAUUUUUUUAUUCAUUAACUACCAAUCGGCAAUUGAGUUAUUUACUCAUGACAUGAUCAGAUCAUGAGAGAAUCCUGAUCCGCAGAUGAACAUUUACUCAUUUAUUAUUAAGACCUUCGCCUUUACCUAACAAAAAUUAUUAAAAAAUGAAUAUUAUUAAUAUUGGCUUAAUAUUUUAUUGGCAUUAGUCAUGCUAGUCUUUUUUUAAUGUUAAGUGAUUGUCAUUAUAUUACUAAAACAUCUUUUUUUUUCAUUAGAUUAAUAAAACUUGUUGAAAUUACAUAAUUGGCUACUUGAUCUAGAAUGACCCAAAAAAAAAAAAAAACUCUAUCGGUGUCUCAUUUUAUUAAACGGGAAAAUUAAAUUAUUUCCUUCAUUGAGAAAACAUAAUUAAACCUUAGGGAUUUGAAAGUUAUUAACUCAACAAGGCCUGAAGUUCUAUGAUUCCAAUCUAUUAAAUUAGUUUUAUCUAAUCGCAUAGAAAAUUUAUUAUAAUGACCUUACCUAACAAAAAAAGUUAAAAAAAGACUGAACUUGUUGAUAUUCCAUAUGGUAAUUAAUUUGAUUGAGAAUGACCUUAACUUAAUCAGAGACUUUUGGGAUUUGUUAAUAAAGAAAGAUAUGCUUUACGUUAUCCGGUUCACACAUUACAUAUGAUCAAGGGGCUAAACAUUGCUGCCUAAAAACGACAGUCGAUCCGGUGCUUGGUCCGCCGAUUUACACGUCCCAAAGGUACAUAAUACUUGGUGGACAAAACAGCUAUUCAGGACAAUUACUAUAGGUUAUAGUUUGAAAGGCACGAAUUCAUUAAAGUAAGGCCAAAAUUACAUUGAACCCUUAACUAGGUCACUUGUGGGAACUUAUGUCCGCAAAAAAAAGCGCCUCGUGAUACAAGAGUUAACGUAGAACCAAUCCUAGAGAGCUUUCCCAGCCAAUAGGAGGCCUAGACCGACGUUCUGACCUAUUGGCACGUAAGCGAUGUUAUCCCACGUAUGGUCCUGACAAAAGCCUUCGAGAAUAUCGCUUCUCAUAAACCCUAGUUCACCUUACCGAAAAUAUUCAGCUAUACUGUUAGGGUUGGGUAUGGAUUCGGCAGGAUUGGGUAUAUGAAAACUCAACUCAACCUGCUACUGACUGAGUUGAUAAAAAAUCAACCAACCUAAUCAAAUAAAUAUGUCGAACCCAAACCAGCUCAAUUGUCAAAUUAUCGGGUUGGGUUGGAUUGGGUUGAGUUGAUUUGAUUGAUUAAAAUAAGAAGUAAAUGAGCAUUUACCCUAUUCAAAUAUAUCAAUCAAUUAUAAAUGAAUGUCAAUAAUGAAGCAAUUUUUUUAUGAGAUUAAUUGAACUUGUUGAAAUUCCAUAAUUUGCAAGUUGAUUUAGGAUGACUUAAACAUGAUCACACCUGUGUUAGGGGAUUUUGUUAAUAAAGAAAGACUUGCUUCGCUUUCUCCAGACUUUGUUAAAUCUUAGAAUCUGCCUAUAUAUAGCUCGUAUUUGCUAAUCCAGGAAUAUCCAUCGAAAGCUAAUUUCACAAAUUUCCUGCCUGCCUUUUGAGUUCAUCAAAUCCUUUCACCUUUUCGGAAAUUCUACCAUGGGCGACAAUGGUACGUUUUGUGCUAAUUACUGCUUUUCGAAUAAUCUUAGUUUGUAUCAUUUAAAUUAUUAUCGUAUUAAUUAUAGUCAUUGCUACGUACAGUGUUCUUACAUAUAUAUUUUCAUGUGAAUUUUAGCAAUAUCAAGGGAGAAAAGAAGUCUUCCUCCAGCUGACUACUCACUGAAAAUGGAGUCAUUCAAGCUGCUAUCCGAAUCAACGGUUGAAAGUUUUGAAUCUGGUGUUUCAAAUUCGGGGGCUACAAUUGGUACGCCCAUCUAUGCAUGCCUGCCUCCAGUCUUUGUAUUGCUUAUAGAAUUAAAAAUGAAUGUAUUAUAUUACAUUUGUUAAUUAAUAUUUAUAAGUUUAAUUUAUUAAUUAUUUUUGUAUAUGGCAGGAAAUUGGUUUUCUAUCCCAAUGGAAAAAAGAAUGAUGGUGGCAAAGACCACCUUUCCCUUUACCUGAAAAUAGACGACAGCAAUCCCCAUUCUAAUGGUACUUGGAAUGUUAAUGUGUACUACAAAUUGUUUGUGUACGAUCAGCUAUCGAACCAGUACUUGGUGGUUCAGGAUGCUAAAGCCCCAAUGAGGCGCUUUGAUAGGCGCAAGGGUGAAUGGGGCUUCGGCAAAUUUCUUGACCUUGCAACUUUUAAUGAACCUUCAAAUGGGUACCUUGUUGAUGAAAGUUGUGUAUUUGGUGCUGAGGUCUAUGUUGUUAAACCAACUGGCUCUGAGGAAAUUCUUUCCUUGGUUAGUGAACCUGAUGAUGGAACUUAUCGUUUUACCAUCCCAGCAUUCGGUUCUGUAGGUGAUACCGUUCAGCGCUCAGGUGAAUUCACUGUUGGAGAAAGAAAUUGGUAAGUAUGCUCCUACUUUAAUUUUAAUAAAUGGUCACACAGAUUCACCUACUGCCCACUGUUUGGACAAACCGUGAAGUUUGUAUGACCAUUCUUUAAAACAAUAGGUCUCUGUGAUUAUUUUUCCAAACCUUAAGGUGUCGUUGUUCAUUUUUUUAAUUAAUUCUAUUGGGUAAAAUAUAGGCAACUGGUGGUUUAUCCGUCAGGAUCUGGAGCUGAUAGAGGCAACUAUCUUACUGUUUCAUUAAAGCUAGCUGAUUAUCAAAAAGUUACACCUAAGAAACCAGUUUAUGCAGAAUUUAAGUUCAAAAUACCCAACCAAUACAGCAGGAAUAGAGCUGGCGCUGAACAAACAGGUGAGUACCCGCCCUUUACCGGCAUCAACUCUUUACUAGCUUCAUAUGUAUUUGAAGCCUAGCUUAUUACAUAAACAAGAGCUGGCUAACGCAUAUUAAUUAUACAUCGAACAUUAUUUUGUUGCAGUUAAGUAUUUUUUCAACUCGGCAGCGGAAAAAGAGUCUUCCAAAAUUUUGUCGAGGGAUGAUCUGUAUGACACCACCAAGGGAUACCUUCCAAGCAAUGAAAGCCUAGUUGUCGAAGUCCAGUUUCUUGUUGUUUCAGUGAUUAAGGCCAACACUUAAUUCAUGCAUCGUCAUCAUGCAUGAUUUGCUGUGAUCGCUUUGGAUGAGUUCGUGAGAUUUCAUAAAGGGUGUUGAUGUUUUUAUUGAGUACUUGUUAAUGAUUUCCAAUAAAACGCUUGUGUUGCUAGUCUAUGCAAGAUUGCGUUUGCUUCUGUUAUUUUGUUUUGUUUCUUCACUAUGCGUUUUGUUGAAAAGUGUGUUCAUCAGGCAAUGCCUGAUUACAAAUAAAUUAAGAUGAGAGUAAUCAUCUGCAUGUGUUAUAAUAAAAAUCUUUGUGUCACUUGUGCUUCCUCUGUUAUUUGAAUGUAUUUUCAUUUUAAGAUGAUUGAUUAUUUUGUGGCGCGUUCUACAAACAGUUGGUAAAUCUGUCAUUAACGAAAAUUAAAUACGCACUCUAAUCUGAACAGCUUGACUUGUAGUCUCAAUUUGUGAUCUCAUGUUUCAUGAUAAUGCAUGAUUUCCUCUGAUCGCUUUGGAUGAGUUCAUGAGACAGGGUAUUGAUGUUUUAAUGAAGUAUUUGUUGAUUUCGAAUAAAAAGCAUGUAUUCUGCUGAUUUUUUUUUUUUGUUUCUUGAUUAUACGCCUAGUUAAAAAAUGUGUUCAGGCGAGGCCUAAUCGAUUGUAAUUAAACAAAGAUGCUAGUAAUCAUCUAUGUUAUCUGAUAAGUCUUCUACUUCCUUUAGUACUGUGCCAUGUGAACAAAAUAUUUGUGUCGUUAAAUCUGAAUUAUUAUGCAGAUUCCAAUAAAAAAUUUAAUCCAGCAUAAGCAUCAAGGAUCUAGUAUCAUUGCUUAUGCCUACUAAGUUAUAAAUUCAUAUGCAUAUGUCUGAAUGUCAAUGUGUAUAAAAAAAAGUUUAAAAAACACAUAAAUCAAGUAAUGCAACAUCAAGAAUUUCUAUCUAAACAAAAUAUAAUAUGUAAUAAACUAAUUCUUUAACUCCAAUUAAAAUAAUAAAUUACUCUUUAAUACUGAAUUCCAAAGAUCCAAAUACAAGAAUAACUUAUUUAUCGUAUAAAGAGUAUUCACUACAGAAAAAUGGUCUUCACUAAUACUUAGCUCGUGAUGCUUAAUUAAAAAGUAUCAGUAUUUACAUACAUAUGGUCCAUUUUUCAUGUUUAACAUACAAGUAUAAAAAAUUACUGAUAUGAUAGUGUUAAUAAGUUAGACAUCAGAAAUUUCUGACACUAAGAUAUCAGUAAAAAAAUCAAAAUAAUUCUAAUCUUGUCCCAAUUAGAACUCGAUCCCAAGACCUCUCAAAAGUCAAGCUUCUAAAUUAAAAAGAGAAACAAUAAUAUAAUAAAAAAUGUAUAUAUAGAAAAUAAAAAAGCCCUAAGUCGGCAAAUCCCUAAUUCUAAUGUCAACUUCAUCUUCUAAACUCUCUCUCUCUCUCUCUCUGAGUCUCAGCAGCCACGUGUGCAGUCAACGAGCGCGUUGCCACUCCUUAGCUAGUCUUCCGCGAAACAUCCACACUAUGUGCCAUCAUCGAGAAUUUGUGUUUUGCCUCACGGUGCGUUCGUCGUGACAUAGUAGUUGUGACUCGUCAUGUCAACCAGUCUCACAUCCUCACGGCUGUCACUCAUCAGCCAGUGGUCGUCGUCACGGUUGUCGACUGCUGUUAUUUUCAAAUUUCAAUUUUGAUUCAUAAUAAAGGUAUAAUAUUAGAAAAUUUAUUUUAAUUUAUUUGAUUUUCGUAUCACUACUAGAAAAAUGGUCUUUACUGAUACUUAACUCGUGACACUUUAUUAAAAAGUAUCAGUAUUUACAUACAUAUGAACCAUUUUCCGUGUUUAACAUAUAAGUAUCACAAAUUACUGAUACCAUAGUGUUUGCAAGUCAGACAUCAGAUAUCCCUGACACUAAGCUAUUAGUUAAAAAAUCAAAAUAAUUGUAAUCUUGUUCCAAAUAGAACUCGAACCCAAGACCUAUAGAAGUCAAGCUUUUUAAGUUAAAAGGAAAAGAAAAAACCAUAAUAUAAUACACAAAAAAAUGUAUAUAUAAAAAAAACCCUAAUUUCGUAAAUCCCUAAAUCUAAUCUAGGUCAAUUUCAUCUUCUAAACUCUCUUUCUCUCUGAGUCUCAGCAGCCACGGUCUCUCUCUCAGCAGUCACGGUCACGGAAACAAUUACAUAGCCACGGUCUCUCUCUCUGGCACGUCGUCACUCACCCAGUUUUUUGUCAGCUAGUGCAUCGUGACCGUCAGCCUGUGUGCAGUCUGCCAGCGCAUCGCCACUCUUUAGGUAGUCUUCGGCGAAGCAUCCACACUGCGUGCCGUCAUCGUCGAUUUGUGCUUUCCUCACUAUGUGUUCAUCCUGUCAUGGCAGUUCUCACUCAUCAGCUUCAGCUAGUCUCGCAUCCUCACAGUCAUCACUCGUCAGCCGGGGGUCGUCGUUGUAGUCGUCACAGACACGGUCAUCUGCUGCUGUUAUUUUCAAAUUUCAAUUUUCGUUCAUAAUAAAGGUAUAAUAGUAGAAAAAUUAUUUUAAUUUAUUUGAUUUUUGUAUUAAUGUAUUUGAUUGAAAUCGAAUACUUGGUUAAAAAAAAAUUUGAAAUUUUUUCAGUUAUGUAUUUGAUAUCAUUCUUGUUUAAGAGCAUGCAUUUCAGUAGUUGAUUUCAUUUAGUCUGUGUUCUUUUUGGUUGCUUUAUUUGAUAGAGCAGAGCAAAAGGCUUUUGAAACCUCAGCUUCCUUUUUUUUUUAAUCUUUUAUGGCGAAAGUAGGGUAGGAAUAGUAUGAAAACAUGUUUUGCUUUCUUCUUGGAUGGCUAGCUUGGCUUGCCAUGGGAGAGUGGGAAGCUGAUUUAUAUCAUAUUAAUUACAUCACAUGGUUAUAUAAUAAAAGUUAUAUUUUUUUAGGAAUGUGUAUUUGUGUCAUAUUUUGAGCAAAACAUUUACUUGUUCAAAUAGGGACUCGUAGUAUACCGGCCUUGAUGGGAGCUGUGGAUAUUUCAUGGUCAAUGGGGAUGAUUGGCUAUUCAAGUAUUGAAUAUUGCUUUAGUGGUAGUUAGAUCUUUCUAUUCUGUCUUUUAUUUUAUUUAAUAGUGUUUAUAUAAUGAAUAAUAAACAGUUCUUUGACUAAAAAGUUGUUGGUAGCAUCAUGGACCCAAUUUGUGAGUAUAUCAUUUCUCCUAACUUGCAAAUAUUUGUUCAUUAGCAGUAUUUAUUUGGGAAUAUUUUGUACCUAUAACGAUAUGUAAUGUUCUGGAUUCUAUUUACCUUUUAAGGACCUUAGAAUGAUUAUGUAUGUCAAAUUCUCUGUUAGAUUUGUUCCUUGAUUUACUAGUGUUAGAUUUAUUUUGCAUUCUAGUUAUUCUCACAUGGCUUUGACUUUCCUUUAUUAUUGUACUUUCUUUCCCUUUUCUUUUGGAAUAAACUUCUUCGAUUAAUGGGGGCCCUAAAAAAGUUUAUACUAAAACCUUUAUUUUGCCAAGUUAUAAUUUGCUAGGACAUAUGGAGUGAAAUAUAUCUCGGAAGAAAUUGUAAAGUGGAUAGUUUGAGAUGCAUGCUCAGAUGUGGGGAGAGUUCUCUUGUCAAUGAUGAAUUAUACUAUGUAUUAGAUGUACUAUUGUAGCAUGUCCUUUUAGGUCAUAUAUUAGCAAGCCUCUUGUAUCAUAAUAGCAGGGCGUUACCACGUUAGUCAAAUUACAUGCUUGGUUUAACAGGUACUUUAAUGCAUUAAAAAAAUAUAUUUGUCAUUCAAGUUUAUCCAUGAAGCUUAGGAGUAUUCAUGCACAUUUAUGAAGUUUACGUAUUUAGUAUCUAUACUUUUUUUUCGGGUUAAAUUUGAAACAGGAUUUAAAAAUUUCUAUUCUAUAAAUGUGCAGCAAAAUUCUUUAGCAAACUACGGAUGAAGUCAAAAUAAAUCCUUUCUAGCUAGCAUGUGUUGACUUUUAUAAAACUUGCAUUUUGUCUUAUCUCCCAUGGGGAGGAGCUGAACUCAUUCAGGUAAUGCUUUAUUUAAUCAUUGCUUGAUGGUUUAUUUAAAUAUAACAUAUAUGUUUUAUUGUCUUAUAUUCUGUAUCUGUAUUUUGGAUUUGGAAUUUCUAUUAAUGGACUUCACCUCUCUACCAUAAAAUGAGAAUAUAUUAAUACUCUUAUGGCUAUUUUGAGAGACAAACAUAAAGAAUCAUCACCUUGGCAAAAAUAAGCUCCAUCCUUUUUAAAUAAUCGGCAGUGCAUCGUGUCUAAGUGAAUGAUUGAGAGAUCUCUAUAUAUAAUUGAUCUAGUGAUCUUUCUUCAAUCUUUCCUUUUGGUUUCUUUAUCUCAAUGACCUUAAGCCUUUUUGUAUUGCUUUACCUCUAUAACUGAAUAUGUUUAGUUUUCUAUUUGCUGAAGUGAAGUUUCUAGGAGGUUGAUGUUGUAUUUUGACUCAUGAUUGUUAUCAUUGUGUCUUGAAGAUUUGAUAGGAAAUUGAAAAGUAUUGCAAGAGUUUGGUACUAUACCUUUUUCAUUUUUUGGCUUAGGGAUACUUAUUUAAUUCAUUAGUGAUAGCCUAAGAAUACUUAAGAUAAAAAGGAUUAAUAUCAAUUCUAAGCUUUUUUAGGAUCUUUGGUAACUACUGUCAAGUGGUACUGUUUAUUAGUAUGUUACUACUUUUUAUAAUUUCUAGAAAAUGUCAAGUGUUUGGUUACAAAUUAUUGUUUAGUUUUGAGGUUAGUAAUAUAUACUUGUUAGUAAUUGGAGUUGAUGUUGAAUGUUAUGAAUACACUAUUAAUGAUCUUUCGUAUGUGUAGGCCGCAUUUGUUGUCAAGUUAUUUGUAGCAUUCAAUAAUCAUGUAAUGUACGAGUAUAUUUUUGCUUGUAAAUGUCCGACACUUAAUUUGUGUAGCAAACUAAUUAAUUCUAUAUGUUACACUUAUAGGUGGGAAAACAAUGAAGUUCAAGGUGUAGAGGCAAUAAGGAGAAUUUUGUUGCAAACUAAAUACUUGUAUUUUUUUUUCAAUCUGAAUAUCUACUUGUGGGCAUUUCAAACUAUAUUUGAGAUACUCUAAAUUUGUAUGUUUCUUUUAGUACUUGUUUUAAUUUGUAUUUGGUAUAAUUGUGACAUAUUAAUAAUAUUUCAAUAUGAAAUGAAAGAUUUUGUAAUAUAAAUUAAGUUUUUUAAAUUUUAUGGCGCCUUUUAAUUUUACCAAUAAAUCAAUAGCAAUGAUCCAAUUCAAAUUUUUAUUUUUUAAAUAAAUUAAACAAUGAUAUCAUGGUAACAAUAAUUAUAGACACUAAUAUAAUAUCAACAACUACUAAUACUAUGGUGUCAUAAUAUUAGUGAUACUGUAGUAAUAGUAAUUUCUGACACCACUUACAAGUGUCACUAUUUUUCUAACUCCCAGAUUACUGACACAAUUAACGAGUGUCACUGAAAGUAAUUACUGACACUAUUCUAAUGUCAAUAACGACCAUUUUUCUAGUAGUGUAUUAAUGUAUUGGAUUGAAAUCGGCUACUUGGUUAAAAAAAUUUUGAAAAUUUUUUCAUUUGUGUAUUUGAUAUCAUUCUUGUUUAAGAAGCACGCAUUUUAGUAGUUGAUUUCAUUUAGUCCCGUGUUCUUUUUGGCUGCUUUAUAUGGCAGAGAAGAGCAGAAGGCUUUUGAAACCUUAAUAUUUUUUUUAAUGUGGGAAAAUAGGGUAAGAAUAGUAUUAACACAUGUUUUGCUUUCUUCUUGGAUGGCUGGGCUUGGCUUGCCGUGGGAGAAUGGGAGGUUGGCUUAUAUCAUAUUAAUUACAUUUUUAUAUAAUAAAAGUUUUGUCUUUUUAGGAAUGUGUAUUUGUGUCAUUUUUUGGGCAGAACAUUUACUAGUUUCAAAUCGGGACUUGUAAUAUAUUGGCCUUGAUGGAAAUGGGGAUAUUUCAUGGCCAAUGGAGAUGGUUGGCUAUUUAAGUAUUGAAUGUUGCUUUAAUGGUUGUUGGAUCUUUCUAUUCUGUCUUUUUUUGUUUUGUUUUAUUUACUAGUGUUUAUAUAAUGAAUAAUCAACUGUUCUUUGACUAGAAAGUUGUUGGUAGCAUCAUGGGCCCAAUUUGUGAGUAUAUCAUUUCUUCUAACUUGGAAAUAUUUGUGCAUUAGCAGUAUUUAUUUGGGAAUAUUUUUGUGCCUAUAACAAUCUGUAAUGUUUCUGGAUUCUAUUUACCUUUUACGGGCUUUGGAAUGAUUAUGUUUGUCAAUUUCUCUGUUAGAUUUGUUCCUUGAUUUACCAGUGUUAGAUUUGUUCCUUGAUUCUAGUUGUACUCAUGUAGCUUGCACUUUCCUUUACUAUUGUACUCUCUUUUUCUUUUCUUUUUGAAUAAAUUUCUUCGAUUAAUCGGGGCCCUAAAAACGUUUAUACUAAAAACUUUAUUCUGCCAAGUUAUAAUUUGCUACGACAUAUGGAGUGAAAUAUUUCUUGGAAAAAGUUAAAGUGGAUAGUUUGAGAUGUAUGCUCAGAUGUUAGGAGAGUAUUCUUGUUGAUGAUGUAUUAUACUAUACAUUAGAUUUACUAUUGUAACAUGUCCUUUUAGGUCAUAGAUUAAUAAUGGAGGUUUGUAAGCAAGCCUCUUGUAUGAUGCUAACAGGGCAUUACCACCUAGGUUAGAUUACAUUCUUGGUUGGAGUUUAUGUAUGUAGUCUUUAUACUCUUUUUUUUGGGUUAAAUUUCAGACAUAAUUUAAAAUUUUAAUCUUAAUAAUUUUUCUAUUCUAUAAAUGCGUAGCAAAAUUUUUCAGCAAACUAUGGAAGAAGUCAAAAGAAAUCCUUCCUAGCUAGCACCUGUUGACUUUUAUAGAACUGGCAUUUUGUCUUGUCUUCCAUGGGGAGGAGCUGAACUAUUGGAGGUAAUGCUUAAUUUAAUUAUUGCCUGAUGGUUUAUUAAAAAUAUAGCAUAUUUAUUUUAUUGUCUUAUAUUCUUUAUCUGUAUUUUGGAUUUGGAAUUUCUAUUAAUGGACUUCACCUCCCUACCUAUAAAAUGAGAAUAUAAUUAUACUUUUGUAGCUAUCACUACAAGAAUUAAGGCCUUUAGCAACAACUUUUUUAGCAACAAAAUUGUCUUUGUUGCCUUAAAUGUGUUAUGGCAACAUAAAAAAUACUUUGUUGCCAAAUACUUAAGAAAUAAAUUAAUAGUUAAUUAACAUUUUUAGCGACAAAUAUUUCAUCGCUAAAGACAUACAUUAGCAACGAAUUAGCUUUUUGUUGCUGAAAGUUUUAGUGCGAAACUAAAUAUUACUGACUAACACAUAACUGCUAAUACCAGUAGAUGGAGUAGGGUUGCAGAAGUGAACCGAUAGGGUAGAUAAAUACUAGAUAUCAUUUUAGAACCGAUCAAGCUAAUGUGAUUAGGUUACGCUCUAAUCGAAGCAUGAUUAGAUGUGGUUCUAAUCCAAACAACUCAAUGAGAUUUUGAUAAUGCAUUAAGUUCGAUUAGAUGAAGCACCAGUCCAAAUGACUCUACAAAGUAGAUUUUGAUUAAUAAUACCAAAAGGAAUGUUAAAAAGGGGGUUUUAUUAAUAAAAAAUUAUGAAUAAUAAUAAGAUCUCCCUAUUUAUAAGAGGGUAAACAUACUCCCCAAGUUACCUUAGAAGGAAAUUAAAUCACAAUUAUACUAAAAAUAAAAGAGUCAAGUGCAUACAUAAUUUAUUCCAAUUAACAAAUAAAAUAUUGAAAGACCUAAAAUAACAAAAUUCUAAAACUUAAAAUAACAUACUACGUUAAAUCACUACUAAAAGAAUGGUCUUUGUUGACAUUAAAAUAUUGUCAGUAAUUACUUUUAGUGACACUUGUUAAUUGUGUCAGUAAUCUGACAGUCAGAAAAUUAGUAACACUUGUUUGUGGUGUCAGUGAUUACUCUUACUACAGUAUCAUUAAUAUUAUGACACCAUAGUAUUGGUAAUUGUUGAUAUUAUAUUAGUGUCUACGAUUACUGUUACAUUAGGAACACUGUUUAAUUUAUUUAAAAACAAAAAUUUGAAUUGGCUCUUUGCCUAUUGAUUUAUUGGUAAAAUAAAAAGGCACCAUAAGAUAACAAAAAAACUCGAUGUACUCGAUUUAUAUUACAAAAUCUUUCAUUUCAAGUUUAGAUAUUAUUAAUAUAUAUUACAAUUGUACCAAAUACAAAUUAUCUAGUUUGCAACAAAAUUCACAAUAUCUCAAAUAUAGUUUGAAAUGCACACAAGUAGAUAUUUAGAUUGAAAAAAAAACACAAGUAUCUAGUUUGCAACAAAAUUCUCCUCAUUGCCUAUACACCUUGAACUUCAUUGUUUUCCCACCUAUAACUGUA
This 16153-nucleotide long non-coding RNA is filed under the name Citrus x clementina. RNAcentral describes it as "Citrus clementina (C. clementina) long non-coding RNA (CCLE_LNC002419)". Lineage: Eukaryota; Viridiplantae; Streptophyta; Magnoliopsida; Sapindales; Rutaceae. The record is from RNAcentral.